This 504-nucleotide ribosomal RNA is filed under the name uncultured bacterium. RNAcentral's name for it is "partial 16S ribosomal RNA". It matches the Rfam family "Bacterial small subunit ribosomal RNA", at positions 28 to 523 of the family's 1533-position model. The record is from RNAcentral.
GAUAAACGCUAGCGGCAGGCUUAACACAUGCAAGUCGAGGGGCAGCAUAGAUUGUAGCAAUACAAUUGGUGGCGACCGGCGCACGGGUGCGUAACGCGUAUGCGACCUACCCGUCACAGGGGGAUAAUCCGGAGAAAUCUGGUCUAAUACCCCAUAACAUAUGGAUCGGCAUCGGUUCAUGUUGAAAUUUUCGGAGGUGACGGAUGGGCAUGCGUAGCAUUAGCUUGUUGGUGAGGUAACGGCUCACCAAGGCGACGAUGCUUAGGGGGACCGAGAGGUUUUCCCCCCACACUGGUACUGAGACACGGACCAGACUCCUACGGGAGGCAGCAGUGAGGAAUAUUGGUCAAUGGGCGCAAGCCUGAACCGGCCAUGCCGCGUGCAGGAUGACGGCUCUAUGAGUUGUAAACUGCUUUUGUACGAGGGUAAAGUGGGUUACGUGUAACCUUUUGAAAGUAUCGUACGAAUAAGGAUCGGCUAACUCCGUGCCAGCCGCCGCCGUAA